UACGGAGGAUGCGAGCGUUAUCCGGAUUUAUUGGGUUUAAAGGGUGCGUAGGCGGACUGUCAAGUCAGCGGUAAAAUACGGGGGCUCAACCUCCGCCCGCCGUUGAAACUGCCAAGCUAGAGUGUCGGAGAGGUAAGUGGAAUUCCUAGUGUAGCGGUGAAAUGCGUAGAUAUUAGGAGGAACACCAGUGGCGAAGGCGGCUUACUGGACGAUGACUGACGCUGAGGCUCGAAAGCGUGGGGAGCAAACAGG
RNAcentral lists this ribosomal RNA (252 nucleotides) under uncultured bacterium. Its description in RNAcentral is "partial 16S ribosomal RNA". It matches the Rfam family "Bacterial small subunit ribosomal RNA", at positions 524 to 776 of the family's 1533-position model. The record is from RNAcentral.